RNAcentral lists this long non-coding RNA (2152 nucleotides) under Marmota monax (woodchuck). Lineage: Eukaryota; Metazoa; Chordata; Mammalia; Rodentia; Sciuridae. The record is from RNAcentral.
CUCAAAUUCAGCUGCAGAUAGCUGCUUAGAGUACUUUGCUGAGAUUUUCAAGGCCACAUCUAGGGUCUGCAGGAAGGAGAGUUGCAACCACCUAUCUACAUCUUCCUGGGAUCAACUAGCAGUGUCUCUAUGGACAGCAAACCUAGGAGAGGAGAGGAUCCAGGCUAUGUUUGCUGACCCCUUUCUUCAUAAUACAGCAGUAUUUUAUUUAUUUAUUUAUUUGCUUGUAUAUGUAUGUGUGUAUGUGCACACAUGUAUGUGGUUCUGGGAAUUGAAUCCAGGGCCUCUUACAUGCUAAGCAAGUGCUCUACCACUCAGCUACAUGUGUAACCCCAGCAGUGUUUUGUUUUUAGUUGUAGAUGGACACAAUACUUUAUUUGUUUAUUUAGUUUUAUGUGGUGCGGGGGAUUGAACCCAGAGCCUCACAUAUGCUAGGCAAGCGCUCUACCACUGAGCUACAACCCCAGUUUAUUUUGUCUCAUGGUUUUAGAGGUUCAGUCCAUGGUCAGUUGACUCCAUAGCUCUGGGCCCACAGUGAGGCAGUGGCCCAAGGGCAUGGUGGAGGAAAGCAGUUCAGGACAUGACAGGAAGCAGAAGCUUUGCUCACCAGGGACAAAAUAUAAACCCCCAAAGGCAUGCCCCCAGUGACCCAUUUCCUCCACUCACACUUUACCUGCCUAUAGUUACUACCCAAUUAAUCCACAUCAGUUUAGGUUAAGGGAUUUAUAGUAAUCAUCUCCUCUGAACAUCUUGCUAUCUCACACAUGAGCUUUUCAGGGAUACCACAUAUUCAACCCAUAAAACUGAGGUUUAGGUCUGGUGGGAAGGCAAUGAGAAACUGAUGUGACUCCAUUUUUGAGAAACCAGCUUCUACCUCAAGGCCUGUCCAGAGGGAGGGGGCGUGACCUUUGUCCUAGGAAAAACCCACAGAGCUCUCCUAGGCACAUACCCACCCUGCUGAGUUAUUUAACUGGAGAGAUCUGCAGCACCAGGUGACCCUGACUCAGUUACCCUAGUUGAGGACCCACAGCAACCCCCUAGCAACCACCAAUCAGCAUGAGACAGGGAAAAUAUCUGAAAUGCCAGGUGACCCCCCCAGUAGUUUCGGUGAUUGGUAACAUGAUUAGGCAACCCUGCAAGUUUAGCAUACACACUCUUGCAACCCCUCGUGGCUUAAACCAAUCAGUUCAAAUGUAUCCACCUCUAGAACUAACCAAUCACCCUUACCCAACUUGUUCCUACCAGUGAAUGUGCUAAUCAAUAUUAAGAGUUGUUUAAUUUUCCUGCGGUAUGAAAUGAUUUGCUGUGUGAUGUUGUGAUGCGUAGAGUUUCCCCCAAAACCUAUAAUCCUCACUGAACUGAGGGCCAGGACCCACUCCUAGGGACUGCUGCAUCCAAAACAGUUGUGAAUCUAGGCUUGGGCUUGCAAUAAAGACUCUUGUGUGAUUGCAUCAGAUUCGGCUCCUUGGUGUCUAUUGGGGUCCCACGAAUAUGGCAUUACAGCAAAAAUUCUCAAAGAUAUAUUAAUAAAGACAAGAUUUCCAGAAAGCUAUGCCUUCUAUUGAAAGACCUAAGAAAUCUCAUUCUACUUGGGACCUCAUUUUGCUCUGAAACUUAACCUCUGACCUACUGUAGUCCUAAAGUCAGGAAAAUACUACAGAAAAGCUCUAUGGAAACAGUUCUCGGAAAAGCCGAAGAUGGUGAUCACCUAAGAUAGGCCAAGAUAUCUACAUAUCUGAAAUUCCAGAUGGCCCCCACCUAGGUGUGAUGACCAAUAUCUAAACUAGAAGCCCUGCAGUUUGGCAUGUACCCCCCUUGCACCCCCCUUGCGACAUCCUCACGAUUUAAACCAAUCAAUUUUAAGUGCGUCAACCCCUUGAACUAACCAAUAAUUCUUUCCAGAUUCUUUCCCGCCACUUGAUACACUAAUCAUGUUUUAGAGUUGUUAUUUGAAUUUCCCCCGGUGUGUGGUGAUUUGCUAAGAGAUGCUAUGAUGUAUGUGGGGGUCCCUGCCUUCUCCAAAGAAUGUAUAAAACUACUGCAAAAUCUGGGCUCAGGCCUCUUAGCGUCACCUGUUGCUGUGUGCGAGGAGGACCGAGCUAGCUCGCAAUAAACACCUCUUUGCUGCUUACAUCGAUCUUGGUCUCUGGUG